AAGUCUACCUGGCAGGGAAGACACCUUGAUCAUGAAAGAGGUUUUCCCAGGGUAAGGCUCAUCCAUUGCCCUGCCUGAGUGUGCUGAUCUCUGCGAUUUCCCCAAGUGCGAGAAACUCGACUGCAUAAUUUGUAAGCAGUGGUGGCCUGUAGGGGUGGGGCUGG
This is a small nuclear RNA of Hemicordylus capensis (graceful crag lizard), 164 nucleotides long. RefSeq annotates it as U1 spliceosomal RNA. The transcript has a single exon. Lineage: Eukaryota; Metazoa; Chordata; Lepidosauria; Squamata; Cordylidae. The record is from RefSeq and is a predicted model, not a curated record.